CCUACGGGAGGCAGCAGUGGGGAAUAUUGGUCAAUGGACGAGAGUCUGAUCCAGCCAAGUAGCGUGAAGGAUGACUGCCCUAUGGGUUGUAAACUUCUUUUAUGUGGGAAUAAAAUGUUCAACGUGUGGGAUUUUGUAUGUACCAUAUGAAUAAGGAUCGGCUAACUACGUGCCAGCAGCCGCGGUAAUACGGAGGAUCCGAGCGUUAGCCGGAUUUAUUGGGUUUAAAGGGAACGUAGGUGGAUUGUUAAGUCAGUUGUGAAAGUUUGCGGCUCAACCGUAAAAUUGCAGUUGAAACUGGCAGUCUUGAGUACAGUAGAGGUGGGCGGAAUUCGUGGUGUAGCGGUGAAAUGCGUAGAGAUCACGAAGAACUCCGAUGGCGAAGGCAGCUCACUGGACGGCAACUGACACUGAGGCUCGAAAGUGUGGGGAUCAAACAGGAUUAGAUACCCGAGUAGUC
RNAcentral lists this ribosomal RNA (460 nucleotides) under uncultured bacterium. RNAcentral describes it as "partial 16S ribosomal RNA". It matches the Rfam family "Bacterial small subunit ribosomal RNA", at positions 338 to 795 of the family's 1533-position model. The record is from RNAcentral.